GACGUAGGGCGCGAGCGUUGUCCGGAUUUAUUGGGCGUAAAGAGCUCGUAGGCGGCUUGUCGCGUCGAAUGUGAAAUCCCGUGGCUCAACUGCGGGUCUGCAUUCGAUACGGGCAGGCUAGAGUUCGGUAGGGGAGACUGGAAUUCCUGGUGUAGCGGUGAAAUGCGCAGAUAUCAGGAGGAACACCGGUGGCGAAGGCGGGUCUCUGGGCCGAUAACUG
Molecule: ribosomal RNA, 220 nt
Filed under: uncultured bacterium
Lineage: Bacteria
Description: partial 16S ribosomal RNA
Rfam family: Bacterial small subunit ribosomal RNA
Source: RNAcentral